RNAcentral lists this ribosomal RNA (590 nucleotides) under Bacillus pumilus. RNAcentral describes it as "bacterial SSU rRNA". It matches the Rfam family "Bacterial small subunit ribosomal RNA", at positions 131 to 707 of the family's 1533-position model. The record is from RNAcentral. Lineage: Bacteria; Bacillati; Bacillota; Bacilli; Caryophanales; Bacillaceae.
UGUAAGACUGGGAUAACUCCGGGAAACCGGAGCUAAUACCGGAUAGUUCCUUGAACCGCAUGGUUCAAGGAUGAAAGACGGUUUCGGCUGUCACUUACAGAUGGACCCGCGGCGCAUUAGCUAGUUGGUGGGGUAAUGGCUCACCAAGGCGACGAUGCGUAGCCGACCUGAGAGGGUGAUCGGCCACACUGGGACUGAGACACGGCCCAGACUCCUACGGGAGGCAGCAGUAGGGAAUCUUCCGCAAUGGACGAAAGUCUGACGGAGCAACGCCGCGUGAGUGAUGAAGGUUUUCGGAUCGUAAAGCUCUGUUGUUAGGGAAGAACAAGUGCGAGAGUAACUGCUCGCACCUUGACGGUACCUAACCAGAAAGCCACGGCUAACUACGUGCCAGCAGCCGCGGUAAUACGUAGGUGGCAAGCGUUGUCCGGAAUUAUUGGGCGUAAAGGGCUCGCAGGCGGUUUCUUAAGUCUGAUGUGAAAGCCCCCGGCUCAACCGGGGAGGGUCAUUGGAAACUGGGAAACUUGAGUGCAGAAGAGGAGAGUGGAAUUCCACGUGUAGCGGUGAAAUGCGUAGAGAUGUGGAGGAAC